AAGGAAACGGUGGAAGCUUUCACUACAACAGAAACAGAAAGGACUUGCAGUUUCACAGAAGCAACUGCCAGGCGUGCGAGUCGCCACGAGACUGGAGGCCCGCCCUGCUGGAACCAACUGGGGGAAUCCAGAAGGACGGUGGCGCGUGCUUGCUUCCCACGGUUUGAGCGUCUGCCCGGAGCCCCAAGGACACGGGCCCAGAGAGGGUGAGUGCUCAGCCCUCGGGCAUACAGGAGAGGCAGGGCUGGUCGGCUGCUGGGCCUCGUGGGGCCAGGAGGCCGAGCUGCCCCUCCCGGUGCCCUCUGAAGGGUGGUGGUCCCCUCCUGUCAGACCGCGGGGACUGAGGAGUGAUAACCUAGCGGGCGCCUGAUAACCUUUGGGCCUCGAGGGGCCUCUGAGAAGCGCCGAGGACGGGGGAAGUGGGGGUGGGGGUGGGGCGUGGAGGUGCUGCGUGUCUGGCUGCCACCCCUUCUUUCCACCCUGCAGGCUCAGGUCAGAGCUGGACCCAGGGGACCCCGCGUCGGGAGAGCCGGCACGGAGGGGCCGCAGGCACUCACCCCGAACAUUUGCCGCAGGUCGGGGUCCCUGAACCGGAAGGGGAUGUUGGAGACGUGUAGCCGCUUGGGCUGCUGCUUCUCUGUGUGGUCGGAGGAGUGGAGCGGCUGGCUGUCCGUCUGUGCCGCCUCGUCUGUCUGCUGCGGGGAGAGGACCCGGGCUGUGAGGUACCCCUCUCGGCCCCCGUCCCGUCCCGUCCCGUCCGGAGCGGAGGCUCUGAAGGCCGGACCCUCCAACUCCCUGGGCCUCCCCAUCCUGGGGCUGGGGGCCACAGGGGGGCCGGGCAGGCGGUUCUCACUAGGUGCGGCCCGGCGGCACCUUGACCUCCGAGGCCCGCCCUCCAGGCCUCUGCACGUGGCUGUGCCCGACACCACAGACGCCAACGUGGGGCCAGUGACCCUGGCCGGGUGCGCUGUCACCUCCUGGCUCAGCCCUGAGCACACAGGUCUGACCUUAGCGGUCCCUCGGCUGCACCGACUAUCCUGACCCUCAAAGUCAAGGGUUCUCCCUUACCCCACACAACCCAAGUUCUGGGAGCACGGGGACCUUCUGGCUUCCUAGGCCUGAUGAGAAGCCGGGGAGAUGUCAGAACCCGCCCCCAGGCACGCGUGCCCGCGAGGUGCUGCCCCUCAUCCUAGCCCCCGUGCUGUGCAGCACCCAGACCCUCCGCAGGGACAGGCCACCAGCACACCAGCAGGCCAGCCCCCAGCCUGGUUCCGUCCCUGCCGAAGCACGGUGCCGACGGCAUGCGGCCUGGGCUCCAUCGACGUGUGCCCGGUGGGCGAGCAGGUGACCGACCCGAGUCUCACUGUGGCUCAGCUCUCCGGCGAGGCGAGUGGGAGUGUCCAGGGGCAGCUAUCAGCCAGCGACAGACACGGUGGGUGGCACCCACCCCGGGGGCUCCACUGUGUCCCCAGGUGCCCCGCAGGGAUGCCAAGGCUUUCUUGGGGUCGCGUCCCCGGCACUCUGCGUGGCCUUGCGUCCUUGUCCGGGGUCUGCGCCUCGGACGGGACCUUGGCUGGAGGCGCGAGGGGCGCCCUGAGCUUCCCUCUGCCCGGAGGGAGCGCAGGGGGAGGGUCCCCCGAGGCCCAGGCUGGACUUCGCAAGAGUGGAGGUGCUGGUGGCCGCGGCCUCGCUCACGGCUGGAGGAGCACGGACAGCUGAGCAGCGGCGACGGUCGGGGUGCAGAGAGCCGCCCGGACACCGCUUCCCACGGGCCUCCGAGAACUGCCGCUUCGCUGGUUCCCUUUCUGCCGGGCUUCCUUGCCGGCAAUCGAGGGGGCGCUGGCCGCUACCACAGGCCUCCCGGAGUCCGGACAGCUCCAGGAGCGAAGCACGCAGGGGACCGAAGGCCACAGCUCCUGCUAGCGUGGCACCUGCUGGCUGGGGAGGACAGAGAGGAGGCUGUGGUGAGCGGAGGACCCCGCCCACAAGGAUGGGAUGUGUGACCCAGCACAGAGGUGUUCAGGCUUCAGCUGGGAGCUCUGGGCAGCUUCUCUGGAAAGAAGAAGGUGGCUAGCGGAAUCUCAGAGUAAGAUCUCCUCUCCUCCCAAGGUGGGCAGCCUCUGCCUGUGGAGACACUCCAGGGGCUGAGUGCUCCUGGCCUCCAGCGGUGGCCCAGCUCUUUGCCUGGGUGUCUUCAGGUCCUCUGCAGGGCUCAGGUGGCCCCGGGGCAUGAUGAGUCCCGGUCGCUCCUCCUCCGUAUCCCUGGACGGAAGACCUACGGACCCUGACCCCCUUGCAGGGACUUGGAGAGACCCGAGCCGACCGAAGGAAGGUCAAGGCUCCCCAUUCACCAGGCCCGGGAGCUCUCCUUGGGAGGCUCUCGGCCUGGGAAGUGAGAUGCUCACCUCUCGGCACGAAUCCUUUCUGGGACUCCUGAGCCCCUUCCACGACCCAUACUCUGUCCCAUGACUGGCCCCCUGUUGACUUUUACGUCCUUGACUGGUGGGAGCCGGUGGCCACCGCGGGGCAGGGUGGUCAUUUCUUCCGUGUGCCCCCAAUGCUGGCUCAGUGCGUGCCCCCCACAACCGUCUGCCCAGUGAAGGAAGACUUCAUGCUUUCCCCCGUUAGGCCUCAUCUGGUGAUGCAGGAUGUCAAGCAGGCCCCCUGGCUGGUGUCUGCCGUGCAGGUUUGUGUGGUUGGCCCCCCACUCCGAGGCAUCUGCCCGUCUGGCCAUCCUGUCUCUUGUACUUGCUCCCAGGGCAAAUUCCCGGGCCUCAGUGUCUGCUCACGAGGAGGUCACGUCGCGGGAGGUUUGGCCGGACACAUGCUUUCCCAUCAGAACGGGCCCAUCUGCCAGCACUGACAGUGCACAGAAAGGCCCCUCUCUCUGGCUCUGGUGUGAGCACACCCCCUCGUAGGUUUCAGGAAGCAGAAGCAGACAGAGCGGCCCCAGAAACCUGAGGCCACUAAAGUCACAGGAAACCGUAGGAAAGGACCCCACGUGACGUCGUGCACCCUGUACCCAGCAUCAGCCAGCGGUGACCUUUCGUGACGCCAUCCCACUGAUCCAGACAAGACACAGAACUCUCUCUCGUUAUCCUUAGCGCCACACCCACACCCUCCUCCCCGAGGAAGGCUUUCAGCCUUGAUUUUCCCAUUGGUAAAGGAGGUGAAGAAGAACCUCUGCCCAGAAGGUGAUCAGAGUUGAUCCCACAGAACUCGGAGUCCGCACCACACGGCCCCCCUGAUGGCCCUGAUGGUGAGGUGUGGUCUGUGGGGCACGGAAGGUUCUGGCUCUGUCUCGAUGACAACCCCUGAGCACAUCUCCAGAAGACCCCACCCCACCCUUGCAGGGCUGCUGCCCCAGGCCCUGGGCAGGAUCCCGGCAGAGCAGAGGGGUCUUCAAAUGGGGAGCCUGGACCCAGCAGCAUCACCUGGGAUCUUAUCAGCAGUGCAAGGUCUCGCCCUCACCCCAGACCUCCCACUGCAACCUGGGCACCUGUGGGAGCCCCUGAUGUGGCCCUGGGAGGAAGGGGCCCAGAGAAGGGACUGGGGUCCUCAGGCUGUCAGAGGGGAGGUGGUGGGGAGGGCGGGCUUUCAGCAGCCCCUCUGAGCAGGCGAGACACUCUCUGGCCUUCUGAGGGUGUCCCCAGGGGAGAGAAUGCCAUCUCUGAGAAUCCCGCCCCCCGGCGCGGAAGGACCCCUGCACAGACUUACGGUACUUUCCUGAUGUCUCCCUGGGGAGGAGCCCCGUGCACUCCCAUGUUGCCCCUGUCACGCCGACCGACCGUGGCGGGUUUCGAGGCUUGUUUCCUUGUCCACCCCUCCCCCUGUAUGAGAUAGGUGCUCCUCUGCCCCGUCCUUCAUCGGUUAUACUCAUUCACCCAUAACUGUGGGGGCGCCAGGCCCAGGGCCCGUGGCGGAGAGUCAGGCGGGAUGGGCAGGCCGGCCCGUUCAGACUGCAAUCCGGAGCGGGGGUAAAUUCGGACAAUUACCCAGAGCGUGAGGUGCCCUGGCCUCAGGAGGGUGUUGACGAACGCGCGAACGCCCCGGGCUGGGUGUUCUGUCUUCCGGCCGGGGCCCCGUCCACCUGCCCACCUCCCUGCUAGUGGGGGGCUGGGGGCCCACUCUCUGCCAGCACCCCCCCCACCCAGUGCCAGCCUCCCUUCUCAGCGCCCACUACCCCUAACUCCUGGGGUGACCCUGCUGAGCGCCGAUGGCCCCGAUGGUGAGGAGCCGAAAGUCCUGUCCUCCUCCUGUGCAAAGCUGCCGGGUCCCACCUCUGUCUGCAGAGACUGAAGCCCGGGCAGUGCCGGAGUUCCAGAGAGCAGGAGGGGAACACGCGUGUGCAUGCACACACGUACACUUAGCCCAGCCCUUCUCACCAACACGUGCUCACGGUUCUGGUGACCCACUGCAAUCCCUCCCGUGACCGGAAUGGGAGAACCCCCUGGACCCCGCAGCCUCGUCAGCCUACACCCCGGAUUCACUGCUUCCCCGCAGAGUCUCUUGAAGUCCUGACGUGGCCAUCAUGUACGGUCUGCCUCCCGCCCCAGGACGUCGUCUCCAGGCAGACCUCACCUGUUGCCGAAUCAUCUCCUGCACCCAGAGCGUGAGGACACACAGUAGGACUGUGACAGAGGCGCACCUCGCGGACGAGCGAACGUGUCGUGACAGCGGUCACCAACAGAGCUAAAGAGGGAGUGGAGGCACGGAGGCAGAGACCAGGGCACCUGCCGGGGGUUCCGGAGCAGGUGAGCACACAGAGUCCUCCCGUCCCACACCCUCCGCUGCACGUGUGCUCACUCCAGAUGCGAGGGGGGGACGGCCCGAGGCGAGUCUGCAGGCGGAGGGUGGUGGCCUGCCCGGUGCUGGGCUGGAACCCGCCCCUUCCAGCUGCUGCCGGCUCACGAGUACACGAGUGCUGACCCGGAACAUCGUUUUCCAACUCCACGUUUGGUGACCUCACCUUGGCAGCGUGAGAUCGGCCAGGGUGGGAGCAUCCACACCCCACGAACUGGCAAGUGCCACCCUUCAGGGCUGGGUCUGUCCCCGGAGAGCUGGCUGUUAAGACCCUGGGGCCCACGUCCCGGCAGAGAAGCGGUACCGAGCACGACUGUCUGCAAAGCCAGAGUUAAGUGCGGCCCGAGCAGCUUUACGGAGCCCCUCCUCCGAGCCUGCGUUUGAACGGGAACGAGGCGCAGGCUGUGUCCGCGAGGAGCUUCUGGCCCAGCAGGAGCCAGCCAUGCCCAGAAGACACUACCAGAGGCUGGAUGGAAGGCGCCCCCACUGGGUUCUGCUCGCUACCAACGCGAAGGCUCCUUUGGUCUUGGAACAGCUCUGCCAGAAAGCUCCUCCACGCACUGAGCUGAAACCUGCCUUCUGGAAACUUCCACCCAGCACCCGGCUCAGCCUCGGGGCCUGCACCCCUGCAGUCCACGGACUCACGCUCCCGUGGCUGACGCUCCAAGGAGCGGAGAAUCCACACGGCUACACCUGCCACUGUUGCUCCCGGUGCACGUCCAGGAACGUGCUGUGGUUGCUCCUGUCUUAUGGGUGAGAGAAGGCAGGCGAGGAGCCGUGCCUGAACCCAGGCCGGCGUCCUGGACUGUCGCCACGGCUACAGCACCUUCCCUUUCCCAGGUGCAGGGGGGUCUGGUAUGGGGGCCACGGGAGGGAGUGUCACGGAGCAAGGGGACCACUCGGGACAACGCCAUGAACCGUGGGAAAGCAUGCGGACGCUCAGGGUGGGUGACAGACAGGAAAGGGGUGGAGAAGAGCGUCCCUCGGGGCAUAGAGGAAAAUCACUAACACAUUUCGUUGUCUUCUCGGAGGGGACCUUCCUGUUUUCUUAAUGUGCCAAUCACCGGAAAGUGAAGUUUUGGGGAAAAAGACGACGAAAGUAUGGGAAGGCACGGGGACGAAGCCGGGUGCAGGAUGACGUCAAGGGGACGGGUGCCCACUGACUCUUGUCCCGGCAAGCCCCCGCGUCAGGACUCUUUUAGCAUUCCUGCCACCAUGAUGCUUGGUUCUGGCAGAGAGGUCCUGCUGUGAUUCAAAGAGCGCUGGGCAGGAGUAUCUGCUUUUCUGGAUAUUUCCAAGGAUGGUGGAGCCCGGCCCUGCCUCCAGGGACAACCGGGAUCUCAGAAAGGGACCCUGGAGGAUGUUCUACCCGCUCGGCUGAGGAGGAAGUCGGCAGCGGGGAGGUGGUGAAUGCAGACGGGGCGGGAGGGUGAGCUAUGGAGAGCAGGAACACCACUGCCGGAUACGCACGAGGACCCACCGGCUGCCAGGUUCUGGGUGCCUGGGGCGCACCAGUGAGCACGGGCCGUCUCAGGGAGCAGACACCCCUGUGGAGGCCCCCUGGGCAUUAGCUAAAUUUGAAAUGCAUGAUGUGAUUUUCAGGGGCAGCCAAUUAGCGUCUCCAUGGCGGUUGGCUCAGGUUAACCUUCCCAUCCUGGGCCACCAACUGAGAGCAGGGGCCUGGCCCGGAGGCGGCUGGUGACUCACAGAGGGGCUCCCCACGCACACGGCGGGGGGCACAGAAAUGGAAAUAAACAGUCCCAACAGCGAUCCCAGGGAGAAACAAGAGGCUGCUCCAGGAUUCAGCCGGGGUCACUGGCACGGGGGCCAACGGGGUGGACAGCCACAGCACAUGGCUUUCUCUCUCGCAGGUUCUUGCCCUCUGACUCAGUUGCAUCCUUACCCCAAAACAGGCCAUCUUCAUGGCUCACGGGCUUCUGACCCCAACUUUUGGGGCUCAGGCACUGGCAGGAGAGCAUCCUUGCCAGGCGGGAACAGAGGCACUCCAGCCAGCCCAGGCACCCCGGGAAAGCUGGGUCCUAGCAGUGAGAGGGUGAGCCUGGGAGCCCUGGGGGGCAGGGCCAGCCCCCAUCUCCUGCCGAGACCCCACUGGGCCCCCUUGCACCCCAUCCAGCAGAUUCACAGCAGAGGCUUCGCUCCUGGACACGCUCAUGCCUCCCUCCCCAAGUUCAAGAUGUUAUUCCAGAGGUGUGCGGUGGGAGGCAGUGGUGGGGAGUCCUUGCUGGUGAGCACCUUAAGGCCAGAGACUUCGGGGUGAGGAUUGUCUAAGCAGGUCAUGCUGGGGCACGCCUCAGGGCACAGCUGGGCUGCUAUCACAGAACAGGCAACCCGGAUGGGCAGGGUGAUGCCUUAGCAUUCUAGAAUUCUAUUCUAGAACGUUCUAGUAUUCUAGAACGUUCUAGAAUCUCUGCGGUAGGGGUUGGGGGGAGGGUGUGGAGCUCCAGACCAGGAGAACCCUGAGGGCCAGAGCUCUUCACGAGAAGUGAGCCCCUGACACAGUUCAGGCACACAGCAAGUGCUUGGUAAAUGCUCAGUAACGCGGGGGAUUGUGGGAGUGACAGCCACUGGUUGAGGGUUUUCGAGAGCCCGGCACUGGGCUUAGGAGUAACAACGUGCCGUUUCGUGUGACGGUCAGACGACCUGUGAGCUGGCCUCCUCCAGAAGUUGCCUGCCCGCGUGCACACAGCCAGCACGUUGCAGAGCUGGGAUCCGGGCCCAGGCCCAGCUGACUCAGAGCCACUGGAUGCUGCCAGACCGGCACGGACUGUUGUCUGAAUAGGAGCAGAAGAGGGUGUGCCCUCCACCCACUGCCUGGAAGAGGGUCGGAGGCCCGUGGUGCUCGUUCCCCGUCCCAAGACUCAGGAGGCCUGUUCUGCCGCUCGCUGAGCCUGCUUCCCAGACACCAUUCUAACCGAGCCGCCGGCCAGGGUUUCCUGAGCCCGUCCUGAGAGCCCACCUCUGGGCUGGACGCUUCCCUCUGGUGCUCAGAGGGCUCAGCCCCGGGCCCUCCCGUCCCCACCUCGGUCUUAGCAACUGGCUCCGUGGUGGGUGCGUGUGGUGGGGGGGGGAGCCCUGCUCUGUGGCGUCUACGGUUUCCGUGGCGUAAAACUACCAGCAAGAAGCGUCUGAACGCGGGGCUUGCGGGGACGACUCCAGAGACCCUGGGGCGGGAGAGGGGGCCGCCCCGGUCGGGCUCCCGAUUCACCUCCCUGGUCUGAGCAAGAGGAGGUGUGGGAGGGCCAGGGACACGGUGCUAUGUGUGACGGGGCUCUGUGCAGGGCUGGGGCAGGGGCUGCUGGGAGACCAGGGGUCGGCGGGCCAGGGAGAAGGGGGGGGCAGCGCUGCUUGCUGGGUGGGAGGCUGGGGGCACGAAUCCACCUGAGCGACCGCUCCCCCCACCGCUCCAUCCAACCCGUCUGUGCCCUGGCAGCUGCUUUCGUGUCUUUUAUCAAUUAGGGCUGUCGGAUGGCGCAUCAUACUCCACGUCAUCGCAUUCAGGGACCGUUAGGCUGGCUCUCGGCGGCCUCUCCUCCUUUCCUCCUUCCUUCUCCGCGAGGAGUCUGGUGCCCAGGCCGCCCCGAUGCCCCAGAACACGCAGGGCGCUCCGUGUGUCUGCUCCCACCCCGGGACCGGGAGACACUUUGGGGGAAAGGCAGGCAGAGCCCCCCCAGAUGGGCAGGACCCUGACGCACUGGCAAGUUUACAACCUGGAGUCCGGCUACGCCCCUGGGCGACUCGGCGCGGGCCUCGCUGCGUUCCUGCUGGCCCCUCCACCUGCCCUCCACUCCACCAGAAUCACGGGUCCCCCGCCCCCCCCAUUUGUGUCUCCUCGUCCUGUGUCCACAGCCUCUCAUUUCCCAGUAGGGCCUCAAGCCUCUGCCUCAUUGGCGCUUUGGAGGCUGCAGGUGGGCGAUGGGGCCAGGUCACCCCGUAACCUGCGAGGUCUGAGUGAGGAGCCCUACCCCCAACCACACAGAACACAUGAGGCUUACGUGGGGGCCCAGCCUGGAUUCCCGAUGAGCCCUCAGCACGAGUGCCGGUGCCCCCCACCCCCCGCGGCAUCCCGGGCACCCUGCCUCCGAGGCUGGGAGGCCUGGAGACGUUUGUUCUCGUCUCCCUGCCAUGGCCCAAUUUCUGCGCAUUCGCCAUGAAAGCUGGUGGUGCCGGCCAGAGCGAACGCGGUGCCGGAGCAGGAUGCGGCCGGGCCAGCCUGGCGUGUGCAAAGCAGCUCCGAGGGUGCCCCGCGUGCCCCUUGCCGUGUGUGUGCGCUCAGUGCAAGCUCCGUGUGCCCCGUGAGUGUGCCGGGCGCGCCCCGCGUGCUGUCCGGGGCACCUGCUCUCGUGGACAGAAAAGUACCCCACCAGCCUCCCGUCUCCCCGCUGAGCCGCGGGCACGGCCCCGCCCACAAAUGGGGCUGCAGGCCCAGGCCGUGAGCACCGCCCGAGAACCUGGCCGCCACCGGCAGAAACCGCAGGUCCUUCCCGGGUGAUCCCUGUGCUCACCCCAACUCCAGCGGCUAGGGUGGCGAGCACACCCGGCCCUGGGCCUGCUUAUUUGACGUGGCAGAAAAGAGGCCUCGGAUAGGGCGUCACGGUUUUCUCUCUUUUGCUAAGUGUAUUUCAAUGAAGAGUUUUCCUUGUAAA
Felis catus (domestic cat) is the source of this 9467-nucleotide long non-coding RNA. RefSeq lists it as uncharacterized. NCBI's taxonomy places the organism in Eukaryota, Metazoa, Chordata, Mammalia, Carnivora, Felidae. The record is from RefSeq and is a predicted model, not a curated record. The transcript is spliced from 8 exons.